GACGAACGCUGGCGGCGUGCUUAACACAUGCAAGUCGAACGGAAAGGCCCUGCUUUUGUGGGGUGCUCGAGUGGCGAACGGGUGAGUAACACGUGAGUAACCUGCCCUUGACUUUGGGAUAACUUCAGGAAACUGGGGCUAAUACCGGAUAGGAGCUCCUGCUGCAUGGUGGGGGUUGGAAAGUUUCGGCGGUUGGGGAUGGACUCGCGGCUUAUCCGCUUGUUGGUGGGGUAGUGGCUUACCAAGGCUUUGACGGGUAGCCGGCCUGAGAGGGUGACCGGGCACAUUGGGACUGAGAUACGGCGCAGACUCGUACGGGAGGCAGCAGUGGGGAAUAUUGCACAAUGGGCGGAAGCCUGAUGCAGCAACGCCGCGUGCGGGAUGACGGCCUUCGGGUUGUAAACCGCUUUCGCCUGUGUCGAAGCGUGAGUGACGGUAAUGGGUAAAGAAGCACCGGCUAACUACGUG
Molecule: ribosomal RNA, 468 nt
Filed under: uncultured bacterium
Lineage: Bacteria
Description: partial 16S ribosomal RNA
Rfam family: Bacterial small subunit ribosomal RNA
Source: RNAcentral